AGAGUGAACGCUGGGCGGUAGGCCUAACACAUGCAAGUCGAACGGCAGCACAGUAGGAGCUUGCUCUUACGGGUGGCGAGUGGCGGACGGGUGAGGAAUACAUCGGAAUCUACCUUUUGGUGGGGGAUAACGCAGGGAACUUACGCUAAUACCGCAUACGCCCGUUCGGGGGAAAGCCGAGGACCAGCAAGUGGCCUGGCGCUGAUAAGAUGACGCCGAUGCGAUUAGCUAGUUGGUGAGGUAAUGGCUCACCAAGGCGACGA
RNAcentral lists this ribosomal RNA (263 nucleotides) under uncultured soil bacterium. Its description in RNAcentral is "partial 16S ribosomal RNA". It matches the Rfam family "Bacterial small subunit ribosomal RNA", at positions 26 to 279 of the family's 1533-position model. The record is from RNAcentral.